Molecule: long non-coding RNA, 402 nt
Filed under: Nicotiana benthamiana
Lineage: Eukaryota; Viridiplantae; Streptophyta; Magnoliopsida; Solanales; Solanaceae
Description: long non-coding RNA (NBEN_LNC004846)
Source: RNAcentral
AAAAACAAAAACAACAUUAGUAACUCCAGCAGAAAUAGCGUAAAUAAUUAUCUUAACAUAAGAACCAUAAAUAAAAUAGCAUGCAAUAAUAUCAGAUCGUAACUACCAUAAACAGCUACCAUACGGGAAACACAAUCCAACACACAAAUCAUCUACGGAUAGCCUUGCCAAGCCUCACCCAACCCCGGGUUAGAAGUACGAAAAACUCAGGAGCCCCUAUCCUACAACCCUGAUACUAGACCUCCAGACUUUUCUAUCAAGGGUCAUGUCAUCGGAAACCCGCAUUCUAGCCAUGUCAUGCCUAAUCACCUCUCCCCAAUACCUCUUAGGCCUCCCUCUGCUAUCCAAGUAUUCUAAAUAGUAGUCAAUUUAUGUCUCCUUCAAUAUUUACCAUCAUUGUUU